UACGUAGGGUGCGAGCGUUGUCCGGAAUUAUUGGGCGUAAAGAGCUCGUAGGCGGUGUGUCACGUCGGCCGUGAAAAACCUGCAGCUUAACUGUGGGCGUGCGGUCGAUACGGGCAUCACUGGAGUUCGGCAGGGGAGACUGGAAUUCCUGGUGUAGCGGUGAAAUGCGCAGAUAUCAGGAGGAACACCGGUGGCGAAGGCGGGUCUCUGGGCCGAUACUGACGCUGGAGGAGCGAAAAGCCGUGGGGGAGCAAACAGG
RNAcentral lists this ribosomal RNA (259 nucleotides) under uncultured bacterium. RNAcentral describes it as "partial 16S ribosomal RNA". It matches the Rfam family "Bacterial small subunit ribosomal RNA", at positions 524 to 776 of the family's 1533-position model. The record is from RNAcentral.